AUGCUUAUUGCAUGGUUGAGAGAAUUUACAGAAGGAAAGGAUUUGAUAAGGCCUGCUGUCACAAGAUUUGCUACAGCUUACUUGACUCUGUCUUGUCUUGAGCAACAUAAAGGUGCACUGAUCAAUAUGUUUAGUUCAGUUAAAUGGAAGGCUAGCCGCUUUGCUUCUUUAAUAGAUGGUAAAAGAGUUCAAGAUAUUGUCAUGGACAGUAAAGGAUUUUGGCCUAAUGUUGUGGCAUGCUUGAAAGCUGCGAUGCCUCUAAUCAAGGUCCUUAGAAUGGUUGAUUCUGAUGACAAGCCAGCCAUGCCAUUUAUCUAUGCUCAGAUGGAGCAAGCAAAGGAGAGGAUAAAGGAUAAUUUUAACAAAGUGAAGAAAAGUUAUAUUCCAAUGUGGAAUAUUAUUAAUGAAAGAUGGGAAACACAACUCCAGAGGCCUCUGCAUUCAGCUGCAUAUUAUCUGAAUCCGCAUUUCCACUAUAUGCCUGAUUUCAAGGGUUCUCAAGUAAAAGUAGAGCUCUAUAAUUGCCUGAAAAGAAUGGUUCCUGAUGUAAAUGAAAGGGUAAAGAUAGACUUGCAGCUUGAUUUGUUCAAAAAUGCUAGGGGUCUAUUUGGAAUGGAGUCUGCAGUUCUGACAAGAUCAAAGAAAUCACCAGCUGAUUGGUGGGAUUCCUAUGGAGAUGAAUGCCCAGAACUGAAAAGGUUUGCCAUUCGAGUCUUAAGUUUAACAUGUAGCUCUUCAGGGUGUGAAAGGAAUUGGAGCGCCUUUCAGUUGGUACAUAUGAAGAGAAGAAACCGGCUGCACCAAGAUAAGAUGAAUGAUCUUGUGUUUGUGAUGUACAACUUCAAACUAAAAGAAAGACAGAGGAGAAGGGAUGCCAAGGCUGCACUUCAGUUGGAGGAUAUUGAAUCAGAUGAUGAAUGGAUCACAGAAAAAGAGGAUCCAGUGCUUCCUAUAAACCAAGAUUGGUUGCACUCCCUUGAUAGGAUUACUCGAAGGGAAGCACGUGCUGAUGCAGAAGAAAAUACUGGCCAUGAAGUUGAGACCAUGGCAAAGAACAUAGAUGAUGCAUUAGUUUAUUUUUCUGCUGUAGUAGUAAUAAUUAAAAAGAAAACCCAAAAAUAUUUCCCGAUCUUCUUUUGCUUGUUGGGAGCUUUCCCGUGUAAAUAG
This 1167-nucleotide ribosomal RNA is filed under the name Triticum aestivum (bread wheat). Its description in RNAcentral is "partial small subunit ribosomal RNA". The record is from RNAcentral. Lineage: Eukaryota; Viridiplantae; Streptophyta; Magnoliopsida; Poales; Poaceae.